RNAcentral lists this ribosomal RNA (1017 nucleotides) under uncultured organism. RNAcentral describes it as "bacterial SSU rRNA". It matches the Rfam family "Bacterial small subunit ribosomal RNA", at positions 355 to 1375 of the family's 1533-position model. The record is from RNAcentral.
UGAGGAAUAUUGGUCAAUGGACGAGAGUCCGAACCAGCCAAGUAGCGUGAAGGAUGACUGCCCUAUGGGUUGUAAACUUCUUUUAUACGGGAAUAAAGUGAGGUACGUGUGCCUUUUUGUAUGUACCGUAUGAAUAAGGAUCGGCUAACUCCGUGCCAGCAGCCGCGGUAAUACGGAGGAUCCGAGCGUUAUCCGGAUUUAUUGGGUUUAAAGGGAGCGUAGGCGGACGCUUAAGUCAGUUGUGAAAGUUUGCGGCUCAACCGUAAAAUUGCAGUUGAUACUGGGUGUCUUGAGUACAGUAGAGGCAGGCGGAAUUCGUGGUGUAGCGGUGAAAUGCUUAGAUAUCACGAAGAACUCCGAUUGCGAAGGCAGCCUGCUGGACUGUAACUGACGCUGAUGCUCGAAAGUGUGGGUAUCAAACAGGAUUAGAUACCCUGGUAGUCCACACAGUAAACGAUGAAUACUCGCUGUUUGCGAUAUACAGUAAGCGGCCAAGCGAAAGCGUUAAGUAUUCCACCUGGGGAGUACGCCGGCAACGGUGAAACUCAAAGGAAUUGACGGGGGCCCGCACAAGCGGAGGAACAUGUGGUUUAAUUCGAUGAUACGCGAGGAACCUUACCCGGGCUUGAAUUGCAACUGAAUGAUGUGGAGACAUGUCAGCCGCAAGGCAGUUGUGAAGGUGCUGCAUGGUUGUCGUCAGCUCGUGCCGUGAGGUGUCGGCUUAAGUGCCAUAACGAGCGCAACCCUUAUCGAUAGUUACCAUCAGGUUAUGCUGGGGACUCUGUCGAGACUGCCGUCGUAAGAUGUGAGGAAGGUGGGGAUGACGUCAAAUCAGCACGGCCCUUACGUCCGGGGCUACACACGUGUUACAAUGGGGGGUACAGAAGGCAGCUACACGGCGACGUGAUGCUAAUCCCGAAAGCCUCUCUCAGUUCGGAUUGGAGUCUGCAACCCGACUCCAUGAAGCUGGAUUCGCUAGUAAUCGCGCAUCAGCCACGGCGCGGUGAAUACGUUCCC